This is a long non-coding RNA of Carassius gibelio (silver crucian carp), 2066 nucleotides long. RefSeq lists it as uncharacterized. The transcript is spliced from 4 exons. The record is from RefSeq and is a predicted model, not a curated record. Lineage: Eukaryota; Metazoa; Chordata; Actinopteri; Cypriniformes; Cyprinidae.
GGCACACUGUAAAAAAUUAUUUAGCAGUUUAGUUGUUUCAAUGAAUUUUUUUAUGUUGACACAACUUGCAGUUACUGAAUUUGUUCAUUCAACUAAAAAUUUUAAGUUUUCAGUGUCUCAACUAGUUUGAAAGUUGACUGAACUAGGUCAUUUGUCCUCAUAACUUAAAAAAAUUUGUUGACUCAAUUCAAUAGCAAUAUCACGUUCACAACAUCACUUAUCGCGAGAUCUCAUCAUUCUCCUGAAUGCUGUUGAAGAGAGAAGAAGGUCGUCAGCCAUUCUAGUCAGUUUCUCCUCAAAGUUUGGACAUUUGACUAGAAUACAACUUUGAUUCAGCGCAGAAUUCAAUAAUCCUGUGGAUGGACCGCAGCGAGUCCUUUUGCAGUUAUCCAUCAAAAAGAUAUGCAGACAUAAUGGAAAUGGCAUUUACAUUGUAGAGCUUGGACAAAGUUCACACAGGCUCUGCGCAGGAAUUCAUCAAGGACAUGACUGCUGGGAUUACGCUUGUGGAUGACCAAUCUGAGCACCAUCAGUCUGCAGUGAUAUGGUCCAGCCAUCCAGUGACAUUAAGGAUGUUGAGAAAGAAAUUGAAGAGGGCAUUCUGAUUGUAACUGAGGAACAGCAAUGUGAUGUGCUUCCCAAGGAAUAACCAACAUUGGUCUCAUUUGGACAUCCUGUCAUCACUGACAUCUCCCAUGUCCCCAAGGCAUUUAGACUCCUAAUGGGUCUGUAUGCAGUGAACAGCACUACCUCCAGCGCAUUAAAUACACCAUUGAGGCUCUGCAAAAACUUGUGAAGAUCAGCUGCUCCCACCAUGUGCUCGCUACAGCGGCAGGAACUGUAGGUGUGGGGGAGUGAAUGUCCAGUGCUCUCUCCACCCUCAACACCACAAAUAAGGUGUCCUUGAGCAAGGCACAACUUCUCCCCGGGUACUGCAGCAUAAAUGGCUGCCCACUGCUCUGGGUGUGUGUUCACGGUGUGUGUUCACUGCUGUGUGUGUGCACUUUGGAUGGGUUAAAUGAAGAGCACAAAUGUAUGUCAUGUCACUUUCACUUUUCAGUGUUCAUGAUGUGUCCAUCGGCUCCACCGCACUCUUUCUUAAAAAGUAGUGUUUUUUUUUUUUUUUUAAGGAAAGGUUCUUUUGUGCCUUUCACUAUAUAGAAUGUACAUUAAAGUUUACAUGUCAUGACUUGGAAUAUGCAUGUUCUCAUGUAAACAAAUGUUUUUUCACCUCUCAUUUUCUUAAACAGUAUGUACACAUUUUCAGUAUGUAGCAUUAUGAUGGGGGACGAGUUUGGAAACUUUCAAGAUCCUUCUGAUGUUAACACCUCUGUCUGGUCAUGUUGUGCUGUGAAAUUUAGAAUCUGACUUUAGAUUUUUGUGCUUCCAUGUGCAUUCAUUCCAUUUAUAUCUUAUUAUACAGAAGUACAGUACACUCAUUUUUUGUAACUAAUUGUGAUAUUAUAUACAUAUAUCUUGGUUUCUCAUUUUGACCAUGACUUGCAUUAUGGUGGGGGGAGUGCAUGUGAACUUGUCCAGGGUUAAUAUGCAGAGUUCAACCUUCUGAUUUUCAUAUUGAGUUAUGAAUUUAAAAACAAUCCCUGUGGUUUUGAUCUGAUGAAUUGAAAUGCAACUAUUUGUUUCUCAAUCCCAUGCCAAUGUUAUUUAUUAUACAUCACACUUUCAAGUGUCGGUUCAGAUCUUUAGACGUGUUUGUAUUUUGCAUUUUUUGUUUUGUUUAUCAAUUAUCAGUUGAUGUGUUGACAGCAAAUUGCUUGUUCAAUUUAAAUGUGAAUGAAAGUGUUGUCUCUAUCAUUAAAUAAUUACAUUAAAAAAAAGUGUUUUGUCAUCUUUAUUUAAACAUUUAAGGCAGUGGAGUAACAUUUGUUUAUGAUUAUUGAUCGAAGUAAAAAAAAAUCCCUGUUGACACAACAUGAUUUAGUUGACUGGACUAGAAAAUAAUAGUCAAGUCAACUUAAAGAAAUUUGUUACCUGGACUAACUCCACUCUAGUUUGAAGUUGUUUCAACAAGAUUUUUUUUGUCAAGAUAACAAAAAAAUUUUAGG